GACGAACGCUGGCGGCGUGCCUAAUACAUGCAAGUCGAACGAGAGCGACCGGUGCUUGCACUGGUCAAUCUAGUGGCGAACGGGUGAGUAACACGUGGGUAACCUGCCCAUCAGAGGGGGAUAACAUCCGGAAACGGAUGCUAAAACCGCAUAGGUCUUCGAACCGCAUGGUUUGAAGAGGAAAAGAGGCGCAAGCUUCUGCUGAUGGAUGGACCCGCGGUGCAUUAGCUAGUUGGUGAGGUAACGACUCACCAAGGCCGUGAUGCAUAGCCGACCUGAGAGGGUGAUCGGCCACAUUGGGACUGAGACACGGCCCAAACUCCUACGGGAGGCAGCAGUAGGGAAUCUUCCGCAAUGGACGCAAGUCUGACGGAGCAACGCCGCGUGAGUGAAGAAGGUUUUCGGAUCGUAAAACUCUGUUGUUAGAGAAGAACAAGUGCUAGAGUAACUGUUAGCGCCUUGACGGUAUCUAACCAGAAAGCCACGGCUAACUACGUG
This 498-nucleotide ribosomal RNA is filed under the name uncultured bacterium. RNAcentral's name for it is "partial 16S ribosomal RNA". It matches the Rfam family "Bacterial small subunit ribosomal RNA", at positions 28 to 507 of the family's 1533-position model. The record is from RNAcentral.